Molecule: ribosomal RNA, 454 nt
Filed under: uncultured Paludibacter sp.
Lineage: Bacteria; Pseudomonadati; Bacteroidota; Bacteroidia; Bacteroidales; Paludibacteraceae
Description: partial 16S ribosomal RNA
Rfam family: Bacterial small subunit ribosomal RNA
Source: RNAcentral
ACGGAAGGCAGCAGUGAGGAAUAUUGGUCAAUGGGCGGAAGCCUGAACCAGCCAAGUCGCGUGAAGGAUGAAGGUAUUAUGUAUUGUAAACUUCUUUAGAUGCAGAGAAAUAAGCCCCUCGCGAGGGGUGAUGCUAGUAUGCAUAGAAUAAGGAUCGGCUAACUCCGUGCCAGCAGCCGCGGUAAUACGGAGGAUCCGAGCGUUAUCCGGAUUUAUUGGGUUUAAAGGGUGCGUAGGCGGCCCCUUAAGUCGGCGGUGAAAUUUCCGGGCUCAACCCGGUCACUGCCGUCGAAACUGGGGGGCUUGAGUGCGUUUGGGGUGGCUGGAAUGUGCGGUGUAGCGGUGAAAUGCAUAGAUAUCGCACAGAACGCCGAUCGCGGAGGCAGGUCACCAAGCCGCAACUGACGCUGAGGCACGAAAGCGCGGGGAUCGAACAGGAUUAGAUACCCUGGUA